RNAcentral lists this ribosomal RNA (378 nucleotides) under uncultured bacterium. RNAcentral's name for it is "bacterial SSU rRNA". It matches the Rfam family "Bacterial small subunit ribosomal RNA", at positions 521 to 896 of the family's 1533-position model. The record is from RNAcentral.
UAAUACGGAGGGGGCAAGCGUUGUUCGGAUUUACUGGGCGUAAAGGGUGUGUAGGCGGUUGCGCAAGUCUGGUGUGAAAUCUUCACCGCUUAACGGGAAGAGGUCACUGGAAACUGCGUAACUCGAGUGUGGUAGAGGCAAGCGGAAUUCCUGGUGUAGCGGUGGAAUGUGUAGAUAUCAGGAAGAACACCUGUGGCGAAGGCGGCUUGCUGGGCCAUCACUGACGCUGAGACACGAAAGCGUGGGGAGCAAACGGGAUUAGAUACCCCGGUAGUCCACGCUGUAAACGGUGCGCACUAGGUGUGGGAGGUAUCGACCCCUCCUGUGCCGCAGUCAACACAUUAAGUGCGCCGCCUGGGGAGUACGGCCGCAAGGUUG